GUCAGCAGAUAGUUCAGUUGGUAGAGUAUGAGUCUCUUAAUCUUAGGGUCAUGGGUUUGAGCACCGCUUUGGGCA
This is a non-coding RNA of Podarcis lilfordi (Lilford's wall lizard), 75 nucleotides long. Lineage: Eukaryota; Metazoa; Chordata; Lepidosauria; Squamata; Lacertidae. The record is from the annotation of a GenBank genome assembly.